Molecule: transfer RNA, 91 nt
Filed under: Candidatus Gottesmanbacteria bacterium RBG_16_37_8
Lineage: Bacteria; Candidatus Gottesmaniibacteriota
Description: tRNA-Ser
Rfam family: tRNA
About the family: Transfer RNA (tRNA) molecules are approximately 80 nucleotides in length. Their secondary structure includes four short double-helical elements and three loops (D, anti-codon, and T loops).
Source: RNAcentral
GGAAGGGUCGCAUAGUUGGUCUAGUGCGUUCGCUUGGAAAGCGAAUAACACCGCAAGGUGUUCGCGGGUUCGAAUCCCGCCCCUUCCGCCG